GCAAAGAGUUUUCUUUUCCAUAGGAUCUAAAAGAUGUUUGGUUGAAGGAAAUACACAGUUGGUUACUCAACCAUCAUGUAAGCUAUUCUUUCUUUUGAGUGUUCACAAAGCUUAUGGAUUUGCGCAUUCGAAGGCGGAAUAUGUAUCAGUUUUGCAGUUUCGCAAAGAGUUUUCUUUUCCAUAGGAUCUAAAGGAUUGUGUCAAUAAAGUCACUCCAACAUAGAGUUACUGUCAAUGGAUCUGCAUAUCAUUUAAGUUGUUUGUGUGGAUUAGAACAUGAAGAUUUCAUAAGCAGGUAGAGGAUAAGGUAACAAGGUGGGUGAAAGAAUGAAAUGGGGGACCGCGCGCAUUAUCAAGAGGUGAUUGUGUAACUGAUGUCGGCAUGAAAAAAAGAUAAGUAUUAAUU
Molecule: long non-coding RNA, 406 nt
Organism: Vicia villosa (hairy vetch)
Lineage: Eukaryota; Viridiplantae; Streptophyta; Magnoliopsida; Fabales; Fabaceae
Exons: 3
Source: RefSeq, a predicted model, not a curated record